Non-coding RNA from Erythranthe guttata (spotted monkey flower), 265 nucleotides. The record is from RefSeq and is a predicted model, not a curated record. Lineage: Eukaryota; Viridiplantae; Streptophyta; Magnoliopsida; Lamiales; Phrymaceae.
AUUGCUCUUUAAGUUGGCUGGACAACGAGCAAUAGUAUUAGGCACGACAGUAGCUCCACCAUCUCCUAACGGUGAUUAUGAAAUGGGACUUGAGCAACUUGCUUCGAUGAACAGGGAUCAUAAUAUUACAACACUGCAACAAUAUGGAGGGGUUAAAGGGUUGGCAAAAAUGAUAAAAAUAGACGUCGAAACAGGGAUAUACGGUGACAAACAUGAGUUAUCACGAAGAAAGAAUGCUUUCGGCUCAAACACGUAUCCCGUGAAA